CGAAGGUGGCAAGCGUUACUCGGAAUUACUAGGCGUAAAGGGCAGGUAGGCGGUUCGGUUGGUCUGUUGUGAAAGCUCCUUGCUUAACGGGGAGAGGCCAACAGAUACUGCCGGACUUGAGUAUAGGAGAGGGUACUGGAAUUCCCGGUGUAGCGGUGAAAUGCGCAGAGAUCGGGAGGAACACCAAUGGCGAAAGCAGGUACCUGGACUAUUACUGACGCUCAGCUGCGAAAGCUAGGGGAGCAAACAGGAUUAGAUACCCUGGUAGUCCUAGCCGUAAACGAUGCACAUUAGGCGUGAGGGGUAUCGACCCCCUUCGUGCCGAAGCAAACGCAUUAAAUGUGCCGCCUGGGGAGUACGGCCGCAAGGUUG
Molecule: ribosomal RNA, 372 nt
Filed under: uncultured organism
Description: bacterial SSU rRNA
Rfam family: Bacterial small subunit ribosomal RNA
Source: RNAcentral